ACCGCUGUUCCAGUUCAUCUUC
RNAcentral lists this microRNA (22 nucleotides) under Euprymna scolopes. Its description in RNAcentral is "Esc-Mir-12512_3p (mature (guide))". Lineage: Eukaryota; Metazoa; Mollusca; Cephalopoda; Sepiida; Sepiolidae. The record is from RNAcentral.